UGGGUUCAUACCCAGGUAAACAAGCACAUUCAUAGUUAGUAAAAUUAUAAGGAUCGCACAAACUGUUAGGACCACACUGCCCUAAAGAGUCACACUUGUGCUUAGGUGCUGACCAGUAUUCCUUCCAUUGGCUGUCACUUUCAUGCCAAGUUAGCCGCUUGAGCAAUCCUGAUUCCUCUACUACGACUCUUAUGAUGACAGAAGAGUAGUCAGCAGAGUAGGUAUAGUAUAUAUCUUCAAGAUUGUUAACAAAACUGUUCUUGUAGACUUCUGCAUUUGUUCUCCAAGGCCAUGGUAUACUUCGCCAAUAGGGGUUGGUACCCUUGUAUAGAUAAAACUCUGGUGAUCCACUUGGAUUGAGCCUAAAUGAAUAGUUUCCAAUUCCUGGAUCAUGCGCUGAUCUCCAAGAAGUUAGGAACGUUUCCAUACCCGUUUUCUUGUUCAAACCAAUUUUCAUUCCUUGUAGCAGGGUAUUUGUGGGAUAAUCAAAGCUUUGCCACAGAAUUUUUUUAUUUCUUCCCUGGACUAAAACUAAAUUCCCUGUGUCCAAGAGCUGAGCUUCACAAGCAUCUGCUGCAACCACAGAGACAUUUGCAGACCAUACUGGAAAGAUUUGGUCAUGAUCACCAUAGAGAACGAGAUUUCCAUUAUGGUUAACUGAGAGAACUCCCGAGGAACCAGUGAUUGGAUUGUCCCUGUUUGCUACCCACACCACUGUUUGUUCUGAUAUCUUAUGGAACCAUAUUCCAAGAUAUCUAUAUCUGGAAUUGCCAGGGCUAAAAAAUCCUAAAGCAAAAUGGUUUUCUUCAGAGAUUAGAAGUUGGCCUUCUUUGAUGGUUUGGUUUCUGGCAAUAUUGUCGACUGAAGAACAUAACAUGAAUAGAUGGACCAUGAAAAAAGAAUGCAGGAAGAGUCUUCUCGCAUCCAUGGUUUGAUGUUGGGUUUUGCACUGUGGACACACUUGGCAGUUAUUGGUCUCCCCUAAGCUGGGAAUAGGAAAUUUUACACCAGAACCACAUUAUCUUGAACUCGUGAAAAAUGCAGUGACCUAUAUGCUUGGCAAUUCCAACAAUCGGGAAGUGGACCUCAUAGCUUGUCAUUGUCAUUUACUCUAAUGUAAGUUAAUAGAACACAGCAAAGGCUGCCACUCAAAUUGUUAAAAUUAAAAAUAAAAUAAUGAAAAAAAAAAUUAAUUGAACUUAUCAUCUCAGUUCAUGCAUGCAUUGCAAUUUGCAAGGGAUAAAACAAAUUAGCCCUAACUGACAUGAAUGUGAUGGGGACUAUUCGUAAAUGAAAAGAUAAAUUCUCCCGUGGUUUCUUAAAUAGAAGCCCUAAGAGGAUAGGCAUGGCCCACGGCCAUUCUUUAUGUCAAUUUGGACACGUCUGUCACUGUGCCAACCCCAUUCACACCCUGGAAAUCUACCUUUCACCUGUAAUUUUUUUUUUAUUUUAAAAGAAAAAGAAAAAAUGGUUGAGAGCUGGUGAAAAAUUUUUGUGCACAUCCAAAUAGGAAAAGAGACCAGUCAAUAAGCUCAAAUUCUUGUAAUGCAAUGAGCACAGACAUAGUCCAACAAAACCAGCCUAGCAAAAGUCACCUAAAUCCAAAUCCAAAUCCAAAUCCUCUAAGGAAGAAAUCCAUAGUUCAUAUUCAAUAAUUUGCAGGUGGGUACAUCAAUAUACUUUAAUGAUAUAUUUUUUUAAAAGGAAUAAAUGAGUUAUAGUUUAUAGAAUUAAUGACAUUAUUUGUUUUUAUAUUAUAGUUGACCAUAUGGGAGAUUGCAUUAGGAUCCUCAGCAUAGUAGACACCAAUAAUGGAAGAGAGAACCAAGAAAAUAAUAGAGGAGAGAUGUAAUUGAAAGUGGUAGGAAAAUAAUUUAUAAUAUACAUCAAUAUAAGAAAAGAAGAUACGUAAAGGCAUAAACUAAAUUCACAUCAUGGUUUCAAAUAACUCUGCUACAUUAUUUACCAGUUAAAUCCUGAGUUGUAUGGGCUAUCAUUUACCAUUAAGUAACGAUAACAAUCGUUACUUUAAUUAUGCAUUUGCCACAUAUCAUAUGCAAAUCGUAUUUUUUUCUUCUUUUUUUAUUAAUGUCUAAAAAUGAUAAAUUUAAUGCCUUUAUGAUACAAUUGUGCAUCUCAAUUUUACUUGCAUCAAUAUCUUCAUUUUAUGGAUUUUACAAAUUUUUCAAAAUAAUUUGCAUAGCGUUAAGUAGUUAACAUUACGUUACACCCAUUACAGGCUUAUUACCUACAACCGUGACCGCGAACACGGCCGCCACCGCGAUUUGAAACCAUGAUUCACAUUCAAUCAUGUAAUAACUGACCUCAAUGUUCCGGAUGAAUUGAGCCCACUUGGAUUAAAUAGGAGAGAACUUAAUGCAGCAGUUAGUCUGAGAUCCUAGUCUUUUCUUCCCCUGCUUGUAGACCAUCUCAUAUCCAGACAUGUUGCACCUAUUGUAGUCACACAACAGUUAUAGAAAUCUCCACUGCAGCUACAGUUUAGCGAGUUACAACUCCAGUCAUUGUCACCUCAUUUACAGAACAUGGUCCUUCUUCCCCUAGAGUUGAGUUAGAAUUGUUGCUGGAUUUUCUAAAUAUAAAUGCAGGUUGUUUUGGUGAAGGAAGAGCCAUUUCACUAUUCAACAUGAGAACAACUACUAACAUGGUUGGUCUAUCCAUAGCAUCUUCUUGCACACAUAAGAGU
RNAcentral lists this unclassified non-coding RNA (2704 nucleotides) under Hevea brasiliensis (rubber tree). The record is from RNAcentral. Lineage: Eukaryota; Viridiplantae; Streptophyta; Magnoliopsida; Malpighiales; Euphorbiaceae.